Mus musculus (house mouse) is the source of this 241-nucleotide long non-coding RNA. RefSeq annotates it as predicted gene, 34514. NCBI's taxonomy places the organism in Eukaryota, Metazoa, Chordata, Mammalia, Rodentia, Muridae. The transcript is spliced from 2 exons. The record is from RefSeq and is a predicted model, not a curated record.
AGCUAUGGCUACGGCGUGGGAAGGUCUUCUGAUCUGAAUGACCCUGACAGGCUCAGGAGGAUUGCGGGAAGUGGGAGAGAAAGACGUGUGACUUACAGAGACGGGAACCGCAAAGUUUGGCUGUCACACUCAGGAUGCGUUUAUGGGAGCCCCUCCCACAAGAUACUGGAGUGCUAGGAUGUUCCCAAGCUUUUGUUCAGCUUACUGGAGUUUCCAGGCCAUUGAAAACUAGUGAUCCCGA